This is a long non-coding RNA of Gallus gallus (chicken), 347 nucleotides long. The record is from Ensembl. NCBI's taxonomy places the organism in Eukaryota, Metazoa, Chordata, Aves, Galliformes, Phasianidae.
GAUCCUUCCUCUUGGAGCCCUUCUGUGAGCCCAGGACACAGUAGUAGUGGCCUCUUUACAGCAGCAAGGGAGAUGGAUGCGCUACCCUAUGUACAUCAGCAGUAAACAAGAUGGCAGCGGAGGAGCAAUCUGACAAAAUGACUUUUCUGACAUGGAAGUGCAUAUGGAGUGUGAGGAAACUGUUGCAUCCGGUAACAUCCAUUAACACUUGCUGAAUGUUUAUGGAGACCAAACAGUGAAUGUCAGCCUAGUGAGAUGGUGGGUGAUGAAGCAUUGUGAAACACUGGCACACUUCCACUGGUGCAGAUUUUUACAAGCUGGGCAUGCAGGUUCUUGUUCACUACUGG